RNAcentral lists this ribosomal RNA (429 nucleotides) under Gemmatimonadota bacterium. RNAcentral's name for it is "Gemmatimonadetes bacterium partial 16S ribosomal RNA". It matches the Rfam family "Bacterial small subunit ribosomal RNA", at positions 355 to 776 of the family's 1533-position model. Lineage: Bacteria; Pseudomonadati; Gemmatimonadota. The record is from RNAcentral.
UAGGGAAUCUUCGGCAAUGGACGAAAGUCUGACCGAGCAACGCCGCGUGAGUGAAGAAGGUUUUCGGAUCGUAAAACUCUGUUGUUAGAGAAGAACAAGGACGUUAGUAACUGAACGUCCCCUGACGGUAUCUAACCAGAAAGCCACGGCUAACUACUUGCCUGCAGCCGCGGUAAUACGUAGGUGGCAAGCGUUGUCCGGGUUUAUUUGGCGUAAAGCGAGCGCAGGCGGUUUCUUAAGUCUUGUGUGAAAGCCCCCGGCUCAACCGGGGAGGGUCGUUGGGAACUGGGAGGCUUGAGUGCAGAAGAGGAGAGUGGAAUUCCAUGUGUAGCGGUGAAAUGCGUAGAUAUAUGGAGGAACACCAGUGGCGAAGGCGGCUCAUUGGUCUGUAACUAACGCUGAGGCUCGAAAGCGUGGGGAGCGAACAGG